AACCUAUGGUGAUGGCAUCUUCUCAAGAGGUCCAUGUAUCUCUCCCAUGCAUUGUAGAAUGUUUCUAAAUCCAUCUGCAUAAAAGAAGAGAUAUCAUUAAGUAAUUU
Molecule: non-coding RNA, 107 nt
Organism: Gossypium hirsutum (cotton)
Lineage: Eukaryota; Viridiplantae; Streptophyta; Magnoliopsida; Malvales; Malvaceae
Source: Rfam